ACAGUGUUCCUCGCAGAAGAGAAAACGCAAGAAUGGCGUCAACAGUUUCCAUGUACCCAAGUAAUUUGCCAUUUAUUUGCAACAGAAUGAGUAUGCAAAUUGGGACAAACAAUCCUGAGGAGGAUCAAGAGGAUCUUUUAUAGAAAAGCUAUCUCCCCUUUAAUUGCGUCUCAAUAUUUAAGGUUUUGCCGGUGGAGUUUGGAGUACUUACUGUAGAUACGGUUGUAUGCAUCUGCACUGUCGACACGACGGACAUCGCUUGCACCACUUACAACGCUGAGAUGGCUGGCGCUGGCGCAGGGGACGCGUUCGCCGCGGGUUUCGAUGACACGAUCCUCCGGGAACACCGUGGCGACGUUCAUAGCGCCGUUCCUUGCACCGAUUUGCUGGAAAACAAAAGAAAACGGAUUUAACCCCUUUCUCAUUGACCCGACUUUACUCUUUCGACCCUCUGUAACCCAAUCUUUCUUUCAACCCAAGAAGAAAUCUAUGUAAUGUAAAAUUUGCACAUAUUAACUCUGAUAUUAAUUUACUAUUUUUAUAAAUUAAAGAGUUCAUA
This is a long non-coding RNA of Orussus abietinus, 559 nucleotides long. RefSeq lists it as uncharacterized. The transcript has 3 exons. Lineage: Eukaryota; Metazoa; Arthropoda; Insecta; Hymenoptera; Orussidae. The record is from RefSeq and is a predicted model, not a curated record.